UGGAUCCAGACUUUGAUUCCCGCUCAGGAUGAACGCUGGCGGCGUGCUUAACACAUGCAAGUCGAACGAAACACUUUAUUUGAUUUUCUUCGGAAAUGAAGAGUUUGUGAUUGAGUGGCGGACGGGUGAGUAACGCGUGGGUAACCUGCCUCAUACAGGGGGAUAACAGUUGGAAACGGCUGCUAAUACCGCAUAAGCGCACGGUACCGCAUGGUAUUGUGUGAAAAACUCCGGUGGUAUGAGAUGGACCCGCGUCUGAUUAGCCAGUUGGCAGGGUAACGGCCUACCAAAGCGACGAUCAGUAGCCGACCUGAGAGGGUGACCGGCCACAUUGGGACUGAGACACGGCCCAAACCCCUACGGGAGGCAGCAGUGGGGAAUAUCGCACAAUGGGGGGAACCCUGAUGCAGCGACGCCGCGUGAGCGAAGAAGUAUUUCGGUAUGUAAAGCUCUAUCAGCAGGGAAGAAAAAUGACGGUACCUGACUAAGAAGCACCGGCUAAAUACGUGCCAGCAGCCGCGGUAAUACGUAUGGUGCAAGCGUUAUCCGGAUUUACUGGGUGUAAAGGGAGCGCAGGCGGUACGGCAGGUCUGAUGUGAAAGCCCGGGGCUCAACCCCGGU
This 621-nucleotide ribosomal RNA is filed under the name uncultured Bacillota bacterium. RNAcentral's name for it is "bacterial SSU rRNA". It matches the Rfam family "Bacterial small subunit ribosomal RNA", at positions 1 to 619 of the family's 1533-position model. The record is from RNAcentral. Lineage: Bacteria; Bacillati; Bacillota.